AAACUAACAAGGAUUCCCCUAGUAACGGCGAGUGAAGCGGGAAGAGCUCAAAUUUGAAAUCUGGCAGCCUCAGGUUGUCCGAGUUGUAAUCUAUAGAGGCGUUUUCCGCGUCGGACUGUGUCCAAGUCCCUUGGAACAGGGUAUCAAAGAGGGUGAUAAUCCCGUACUUGACACAACCACCGAUGCUAUGUGAUACGCUUUCUACGAGUCGAGUUGUUUGGGAAUGCAGCUCAAAAUGGGUGGUAAAUUCCAUCUAAAGCUAAAUAUUGGCGAGAGACCGAUAGCGAACAAGUACCGUGAGGGAAAGAUGAAAAGCACUUUGGAAAGAGAGUUAAACAGUACGUGAAAUUGUUGAAAGGGAAACGAUUGAAGUCAGUCGUGUUCUUCAGAUUCAGCUGGCUCUGCCAGUCUACUUCUGUUGAACGGGUCAACAUCAGUUUUGUCCGGUGGAAAAGGGCAGGAGGAAGGUAGCACCCUCGGGUGUGUUAUAGCCUCUUGUCGCAUGCACUGGUCGAGACUGAGGAAUGCAGCUC
This 533-nucleotide ribosomal RNA is filed under the name Cryptotrichosporon brontae. RNAcentral's name for it is "eukaryotic LSU rRNA". It matches the Rfam family "Eukaryotic large subunit ribosomal RNA", at positions 62 to 601 of the family's 3401-position model. Lineage: Eukaryota; Fungi; Basidiomycota; Tremellomycetes; Trichosporonales; Tetragoniomycetaceae. The record is from RNAcentral.